GCGGGUGUAAUUCAGUGGUAGAAUGUCAGCUUCCCAAGCUGAACGUCGCCGGUUCGAGUCCGGUCACCCGCUUCA
RNAcentral lists this transfer RNA (75 nucleotides) under Cyanobium sp. NIES-981. RNAcentral describes it as "tRNA-Gly". It matches the Rfam family "tRNA". Rfam says of the family: Transfer RNA (tRNA) molecules are approximately 80 nucleotides in length. Their secondary structure includes four short double-helical elements and three loops (D, anti-codon, and T loops). Further hydrogen bonds mediate the characteristic L-shaped molecular structure. tRNAs have two regions of fundamental functional importance: the anti-codon, which is responsible for specific mRNA codon recognition, and the 3' end, to which the tRNAs corresponding amino acid is attached (by aminoacyl-tRNA synthetases). tRNAs cope with the degeneracy of the genetic code in two manners: having more than one tRNA (with a specific anti-codon) for a particular amino acid; and 'wobble' base-pairing, i.e. permitting non-standard base-pairing at the 3rd anti-codon position. The record is from RNAcentral. RNAcentral also lists the same sequence under 1 other name. Lineage: Bacteria; Bacillati; Cyanobacteriota; Cyanophyceae; Synechococcales; Prochlorococcaceae.